RNAcentral lists this transfer RNA (73 nucleotides) under Bos taurus (domestic cattle). It matches the Rfam family "tRNA". Rfam says of the family: Transfer RNA (tRNA) molecules are approximately 80 nucleotides in length. Lineage: Eukaryota; Metazoa; Chordata; Mammalia; Artiodactyla; Bovidae. The record is from Rfam by way of RNAcentral. RNAcentral also lists the same sequence under 2 other names.
UCCCUGACAGUCCAGUGGUUAGGACUCCACACUUUCACUGUACAGGGUGUGGGUUCAAUUUCUAGUCGGGGAA